This 492-nucleotide ribosomal RNA is filed under the name uncultured bacterium. Its description in RNAcentral is "partial 16S ribosomal RNA". It matches the Rfam family "Bacterial small subunit ribosomal RNA", at positions 29 to 507 of the family's 1533-position model. The record is from RNAcentral.
AGUGAACGCUGGCGGUAGGCCUAACACAUGCAAGUCGAACGGCAGCACAGUAAGAGCUUGCUCUUACGGGUGGCGAGUGGCGGACGGGUGAGGAAUACAUCGGAAUCUACUUUUUCGUGGGGGAUAACGUAGGGAAACUUACGCUAAUACCGCAUACGACCUACGGGUGAAAGCAGGGGAUCUUCGGACCUUGCGCGAUUGAAUGAGCCGAUGUCGGAUUAGCUAGUUGGCGGGGUAAAGGCCCACCAAGGCGACGAUCCGUAGCUGGUCUGAGAGGAUGAUCAGCCACACUGGAACUGAGACACGGUCCAGACUCCUACGGGAGGCAGCAGUGGGGAAUAUUGGACAAUGGGCGCAAGCCUGAUCCAGCCAUACCGCGUGGGUGAAGAAGGCCUUCGGGUUGUAAAGCCCUUUUGCUGGGAAAGAAAAGCAGCAGGUUAAAACCCCGCUGUUCUGACGGUACCCAAAGAAUAAGCACCGGCUAACUUCGUG